CCUGUUCGAGCGUCAUUAUAACCACUCAAGCCUCGGCUUGGUCUUGGGGUUCGCGGUCUCGCGGCUCUUAAAAUCAGUGGCGGUGCUGUCUGGCUCUAAGCGCAGUAAUUCUCUCGCUACAGGUCCCGGCGGUCACCUGCCAGAACCCCCCAUUUUUUACGGUUGACCUCGGAUCAGGCAGGGAUACACGCUGAACUUAA
RNAcentral lists this unclassified non-coding RNA (200 nucleotides) under soil metagenome. Its description in RNAcentral is "partial contains internal transcribed spacer 2 and large subunit ribosomal RNA". The record is from RNAcentral.